AGAGUUUGAUCAUGGCUCAGGAUGAACGCUGGCGGCGUGCUUAACACAUGCAAGUCGAACGAAGCACUUUAUUACGAUUUCUUCGGAAUGACGAUUUGGUGACUGAGUGGCGGACGGGUGAGUAACGCGUGGGUAACCUGCCUUAUACAGGGGGAUAACAGUUGGAAACGGCUGCUAAUACCGCAUAAGCGCACAGGGUCGCAUGACCUGGUGUGAAAAACUCCGGUGGUAUGAGAUGGACCCGCGUUGGAUUAGCUGGUUGGUGAGGUAACGGCCCACCAAGGCGACGACCCAUAGCCGACCUGAGAGGGUGACCGGCCACAUUGGGACUGAGACACGGCCCAAACUCCUACGGGAGGCAGCAGUGGGGAAUAUUGCACAAUGGGCGAAAGCCUGAUGCAGCGACGCCGCGUGAGCGAAGAAGUAUUUCGGUAUGUAAAGCUCUAUCAGCAGGGAAGAUAAUGACGGUACCUGACUAAGAAGCACCGGCUAAAUACGUGCCAGCAGCCGCGGUAAUACGUAUGGUGCAAGCGUUAUCCGGAUUUACUGGGUGUAAAGGGAGCGCAGGCGGUACGGCAAGUCUGAUGUGAAAGCCCGGGGCUCAACCCCGGUACUGCAUUGGAAACUGUCGAACUAGAGUGUCGGAGGGGUAAGUGGAAUUCCUAGUGUAGCGGUGAAAUGCGUAGAUAUUAGGAGGAACACCAGUGGCGAAGGCGGCUUACUGGACGAUAACUGACGCUGAGGCUCGAAAGCGUGGGGAGCAAACAGGAUUAGAUACCCUGGUAGUCCACGCCGUAAACG
This 801-nucleotide ribosomal RNA is filed under the name uncultured bacterium. RNAcentral's name for it is "bacterial SSU rRNA". It matches the Rfam family "Bacterial small subunit ribosomal RNA", at positions 8 to 808 of the family's 1533-position model. The record is from RNAcentral.